AAAGGCUGGUGACUUGAACCCACCCAGCAGUUCCGUGGAAGAAAGGCCUAAAGAGCUGCUUUUGUAAAGAUUACAGCCAAGAAAAUCCUGUGGAGCAGUUCUAUUCUGUAACACAUUGGGGUCACCAUGAGUUGGAAUUGAUUCAACAGUAACAGUCUGGUUUUCUGGUUUUGUAAUCUUGGUUUGGAGUCCCUGGGUGGUACAAAUGGUUAACAUGCUCAGCUGAAAGGUUGGAGAUUUGAGUCGCCUAGAGAUACUUAAGAAGAAGGCUCAGGUGAUCUCCUUCUGAAAAGUCAGACAUUAAAAACCCUGUGGGGCACAGUCCUACUGAUACACAUGGGGUCGCCGUGAAUCAAAGUUGACUCCAUGGCACCUGGUGUGUAAUCUUGGUUUACACGUUGUGUUUGAUAGUGAGUUUGUGGCCUUUUGGUCUAGAACACUACCUCCUACUUUUUUUUUCAUCUCAUGAGAUUGACUGAAGAGUCCCAAACAGUUGUCGUGGAGAAUGUUCUGGAUUUAAGUGAUUGUUUCUUGCUGGUGUCGCUUAGCUUAUUCCUCUAUCUUUAGUAUUUCCUGUAAACUGCAAGUUGGCUGAGCAGUGAGGUUGGAUUCAGGGUGAGCAUUCCUGGCAAGCGUGUUUCGUGGAUGAUGCUAUGUACUAGAUAGAGUACAUGUUAAGAGUUUCAUCUCUCAAGGCAACUGAAAGGAGACAGUUCCCAGGCCUCGAAAAAACGACUCCUAAUCUACUAGAGCAUUAAAUAGUCAAGCCUCAUUUCUGCCCCAGGAAGGUCUUAAUGAGGAAAACAUCUGGCCACUUAGCCGAGGCUGGGAAACGCCUGCGUCCCCUCCAGGAACCAGCCGUGUGUGGGGAAGUACAGCGCUCAGUGAGUUGCCUUUUCCUCGCCUGUGUGUUUACUUCAGCUGAAGUGAGGUGUGGCGACAGGCAGCCGAGGAAGAGGAAGUUGUGGCGAGACCUACUUGUUUUUGUUUGGAUGGGGGAUUUUGUUCCUCAUUUCUUUACACAUGGUGGUUUUUUCCUCCCUCUCUCUACUCCCAUAUUUCAUCUCUCGGGCCAGCAACUGGAUAACAAAGUAAAUAGAUGGCCCAAGUCGGUUGGGCCCACAGAUUUGGAACUGAAAAGACUCGCUUGAAAAUUCCCUUCCUUAGAUUUAAAUUGUGACUCAGACUUGUUUGUUUCUAAACACACACACACACACACCCACACACAUCUCAAAAAACCCCUUAUGGAAAUGUGGCUGGGGAAGUGGGGGCUGAGUAUCAUUGUGCCCACCUACCCUAAGUGGCCAUUUCUAGAUGCUGUUUUAAAAUUGUUUCCUUCCUGUAAUAGGAGGCUGAUAGAUUAAAUAGUCUUUCCUGACAUUGUUAAUUAACUGGUGUAAUGAAGAAAACACAGGACAGCGCACAGUGACGGAGGAGGAGGCCGAGGGCUGUCCACUCUGCCAGGAGCCGUGAGCGUGGCCUCCCCUUGGGCCACCAUUUCCUUGUCAGGACUGUGUGACUAGGUGACUUGUCAGGACUCUGCUGGCUCUGAGGGCCUGAAAGCUAUGCUCGUUAAAAGCUAUUCACAGUGCGGGUACAUGAGGGCGUGUGUGUGUAUAUGUGUGUGUGUGUGUGCCUGCUGUGUGCUCCACAUGUAAUUGACUCCCUCACAGUGACUCCAUGAGGUAGAGACUACAUUACCCUCAGGGUAAAGAUAAAGGCCACCAGCUUCUUGUACUGUGGUGGCUUGCAUGUUACUAUGAUGCUGGAAGCUAUGCCACUGGUAUUUCAAAUACCAGCAGGGUCACCUAUGGUAGACAGGUUUCAGUGGAGCUUCUAGACUGAGACAGAAUAGAAAGAAAGGCCUGGCAAUCUACUUCUGAAAAAUCAGCCAAUGAAAACCCUGUGGAUCACAGUAGAACAUUGUCCAAUCCACAACUAUCAUGAGGAUGGCGCAGGACCAGGCAACGUUUCGUUCCAUUGUGCCAUGAGUCAGCAGCUGUUAUGGGUUGAACUGUGUCCCCCGAAAUAUGUGUCGGAAUCCUCACCGCUAUACCUGUGGAUGUAAUCCCAUUUGGGAAUGGGGUUUUCUUAGUUACGUUAUUGAGACCAUACCAGUGUAGAGUGUGCCUUAAGUUUAACCGCCUUGAAGACUUAAGAAGAGCAUAUUAGGCUAGAGAGAAGUAAGCACAAAUGGGGCAAGACAGAUGCCACCUGAAGGUCUCCAGGAAAUAGAGAAAUGCCCAGCUAUAGAAACUGAAACAAGGAUUACCCCCCUGCACCCUGAAUUUGGACUUCUAGCUUCCUGAACUGUGAGAAAAUAAAGUUUUGGUCUUGAAAGCCACCCACUGUGGCAUUCCUGUUACAGCAGCCCUAGCAAACUAAAGACAGCAGCUAACAACAACCACAAACCUGUCUCGAAAAAGGCAGAAGUUGGAUUUUCUGGCUGGACCCUGUCACGCCCCCAUCGCCUCUCCCCAAUCUGGACGCUCCACUGAAACCUGUUGACCAUCAUAGCAACACGCAAGCCUCCACUGACCGAUGGGUGGUGGCUGUGCCCGAGGUGCAUUGGCCAGGAAUCCAACCGGGUCUCCUGCACGGAAGGUGAGAAUGCUGCUACUGAAAUGGGGGGAAUCAGGGUGUUUAAGCUGUUGUCUGAGGAGAGGUGAGCUCUGCUCCCUGGCUUCCUAACCCAAACCGUGGGCACCGAGGCCCACACCUGCAAAUGAAAGGCCUGAGUUUUCGCAUUCUAAUGAGAGCUUCCUUCGUCGACCAGAACCAGCCCUCACACCAUCCCUCCCCAGCCUGGAGGAGGAGAGGACAAGGGUGGGGGGAGGUGCAAAGGUUGACAUUAUCAGGCUCUCCUCAACCCUGGCCAGGAGAAGGAGGUGGGCUCUGGGGGUGCCUCUUCCAACCUGGGGUGCCCAGAGGGAGAGCCUGGUCCUGCUGUGUCUGGCUGGCUGUGGACUGAGUGAAGGACUGUGUGAGCCCACGUGGGAUGGUGGGAGUUUGGGGGACAUCUGGCCUGGGUUCUGAAUGUUCCUGUCUGAGGACAGGGGCACGGCCUGCUGGGCCUGGGAGGAGGUGGCAGCCGCCCCCAACCUACCCCACCCCACCGGAAGACUGCAUGACACAAAGACCAGUCAAACCGAAGGAGCGUGGUAAGGACACUUGCUGGCCCUCCCCCAGCCUUCAGGGCUGGAGCAGGGACCCAGAAGAGAGACGGGUGAACGGGAUGAAGCCCCUCACCAUGAGGCGAGGGAGAGUGCUGGGCUAGGCCGAGGCCAGCUGGAUUGGAGGUUGGACCAAGCCAUUUUUUUUUUUUUUAAUUUUUAUUGCACUUUAAGUGAAAGUUUACAAAUCAAGCCAGCCUCUCAUACAAAAAUUUAUAUACACCUUGCUAUGUACUCCUAACUGAGUUUCCCCCAAUGAGACAGCACACUGCUUCCCUCCACUCUCUAUUUCCGUGUCCAUUCUGCAGCUUCUGAUCCCCUCUACCCUCUCGUCUCCCAUCCAGACAGGAGAUGCCCACAUAGUCUCAUGUGUCUACAUGAUUUAAGAAGUUCAUUCUUCACCAGUAUCAUUUUCUAUCCCAUUCUCCAGUCCAAUCCCUGUCUGAAGAGUUGGCUUUGGGAAUGGUUCCUGUCUUGGGCUAACAGAAGGUCUGGGCACCAUGACCACCUGGGUCCUUCCAGUCUCAGUCAGACCAUUAAGUCUGGUCUUUUUAUGUGAAUUUGGGGUCUGCAUCCCACUAUCCCACUGCUCUCCUGCUCCCUCGGGGGUCCUCUGUUGUGUUCCCUGUCAGGGCAGUCAUCAGUUGUAGCUGGGCACCAUCUAGUUUUUCUGCGGACUGAGCCAUUUUAAUAUCUGAAAGUUGCCAGAAGUUGAUGGCUGUCACAGGGGAUAUUAAAGGAUCACUUCCCAGCACAUCCUGGAGAGCAGAGCUGGAAACAAGGUAGGUUCAGGAGCGUACUCCUGACUGUUGACUUCUCUUUAACACAGGGGUGUGGUCAGCAGGGAGGUGACAUCCCACGCCUCUUCCUGCAAGGAAGAACUUUAAAGGAAGGGAUCACAUCUGGGGAUUAAGCAUCCCGGGCAGUGUUCUUGGGACCUCUAUGGGGCCAUGGGGUUAAACGACCUGCGUUCAAGUCCUGACCACACACCUCUGUGCUGUGUGGCCUUGGGAAGCCACCUUCCCUUCCCGAGACUCAGUUUCCACAUCUGAACGAUGGUCACAGGGCUGCUGUGAAGAAGACUCAGAAGCUGUGUCGACAGCCACCAGGCACUCUCAGCCCACAGCCAGCAAGGGGCACACUGCAGCCUGCCCCUCCGCCACGGCCCCUGGCUGUGGCCAUUUUUCCCUGCUGAACUCAGACUAUUAAGUAUGGCUACAAAUGUACUCCCUCAAAUAUUUGUCCCACUAAUUCCUAUGAUCAUCCAGAUACUCCUCAGUUUGUUUUGUUUCUUUUCGAGAGGAAUUACCCAAUAGAGCUUGGAAUUUGUUUAUUAGUGGUUAUUUCUGCACAUCUGCAAAAAGAGAAGAGCUGUUGGAGACAGCAGCGCAAAUCCUCUCUUUUUUUUUAAUGUCACAGUCAAAGCAGCAUGGACUCUUGGGCCUUUGAAUUAUUGAAUAUUCUAGAGUCUGAGGCACCAUUGAUUGUAAGAUGCACUGUCAAUUUAGUAUCAGCUUUUUGCGGGGUGGGGAACCCGACCACCUUCAACGUGCACGGCGAUUGUAAGCGCAUCCGGAUUUCAGAAACAUGAAAUGUGGAUGUGGGCGUCAAUGGCUCAGUGGGAGAAGUCCCGCCCUCCAUGUGGGAGACCUGAGUUUGGUUCCCGAACAAUACACCUCAUGUACAGCCACCUUCUGUUUGCCGGUGGAGGCUUGCAUGUCACUAUGAUGCUGAACAGGUUUCAGUAAGCUUCCAGACUAGGACAGACUAGGAAGAAAAACCUGGUGAUCUCCUUCUGAAAAUCACCCAAGAAAACCCUAUGGAUCACGAUGGUCUGAUCCACAACGGCUCAUGGGGAUGGCAUAGGACCAGGCAGCACUGGUCUGAGGCACACAGGAUCACCAUGCCUGUGCCAGGAGCUAGCAACAGCAACUACCAAACACGAUUAAGAUGCAGACAGGAAUGCUGUGUGAACACUGAGCAUUGCUCUGGCCACCCCGAGAGGAGGAGGGCGGGCCUGCUUCACUCACUAGGGUGGGAGACAGCACAGAGCACGGUUUGGGAGCUGCUCUCAGUAGUCCUGUAGGAAGAAGAGAGCCUCAUAAGCCCAAACACUCCCCUCAGAAAGAAUGGGAGCUCUCCCUUUCACCACUAGACUUUUUUUCUUUUUUUUUUACUUUAAGGUUAUUGUUAGUUGCCAUCAAGCAGAUCCCAACUCCUGGGGACCCCGUGUGUGCAGAGUGGAGCUGCCCUUUACAGGGUUUUCAAGACUGUGACCUUUCAGAAGCAGAUUGUUAUGCCUUUAUUUCAAGGUACCUCUGGGUGGGUUUGAACUGCCAACCUUUCAAUUAGCAGUCCAGCACUUAACCAUUUCACCACCUGUUGUUGUUGUUAUUAGGUGCCAUCAAGUAGGUUCUGACUCAUAACUAGGCACUAAGUGUUGCCAGAAACACCGCCGGACUUUGGUUCCUCGGCUGUGUCUCUUGGAGAGCAGACCUUCUGAGGAAUGAAGCAGAGCUCAGGAGAACAGGCAUCCAGGCAGCAAGAACUUGCAGAACUAUCUCAACAAAGGCCAGAACUUGAGCAGGAGACAGAUGCCAGCAGGCUCCCAUUCCUGGGUUCCGGCAGGUGCUCCUGUGGUGUACAGGACUGAAGCGAACUUCCUCGGGACACGCGACUGGACUGCUCAGGCAAGUCUCUUUAAGCUGCUUCUGAGCCUGCAAUUCUUUAUCCAAGAGGUCAUCAAACUUUAUCUUGUAAACUUCAUCCCAGAGCAAAUUUGCUAACAAGGAACGGGCUGUACUACCAUACAGCUGAGAACUCAAGGAAUACACAUCCGCACUUAAUGGGCUCUCAGAAGCCAUAGCCCUUGAGCUAUGUAUGCUAUUGCCAGGCGGACAAGCACAGACUCUGGUAGAGGGGGAGGAAGCCCUCUGAAGUCCAUGCUUGGGUGCCUGGAGCCAGAUUGGAGAGGUCUGAGCAGAUGACAAUCUCCAUGUGUUCAGAACAGGGACAGAAAACUGAAACCCAAAUCCUUUGUUGUUCUUUGAGACCACUGGGCAUCACUCUGUGGCUUGAAAAUGAUGCUGCAAUUGCUUGUGUUCCCGUUAUCAGACAGCUUCAAGAAUGAUAUGCAGUUUUGUUUAUAAGGAAAAGUGCCAAGCCCCUGAGAAAAUUCCAAGAACAAUGAUUGUAACUCAUGACGUGACAAGAGCAUAUGAAGUUUUUCUGGCACCUUGACCUAGGUUGUUGAGGUAGAGCCUUGUAGGAUUUUCUUUUUCACCCUCUCAGGAAGUUACUUUUUUUUUUUUUUUUUAACUAAUAACACUGAAUGAAAUUUCAUGGCCCUUUUGGGAAGAUUUGAAGGAAUUCUAACUUGAGAUCAAUGUUUCUAAAGAACCUCCUGUAUGCCAUUUCAGCUAAGCUCUAAGUCAUCACUUCCCACCCAAAGUGAAGGCUGAUUUUGCAGAGUGUUAUCACACUGACACUGGAUUUCAACCCAGAGGGGAUGGUAGAGUUUAAUAAGAUGUUAAUUUUCUUGAGUCCUAUUAACCACGACUAUAUGACAGCAGCAGAGCAAAUUUUGUUACAUAUUUAGUGUGGAACACCUCUUAUGAACAUAUUCCAAACUUUCAUCAGUUCUGAAAAAAUUUUGGCUGUUAUCUCUUCUCUUCAAAUAUUGACUUUGCUCCAUUCUUUCUCUCCUCUCCCCUGAAUUCUGAUUAUAUGCAUAUUGAUCUUCUCACCAUAUCCUUCAUAUCUCUUAACCUGCCCUCCAUAUUUUUUUUGUAUGUCUCUGUGCUUCAUUCUAGAUAAUUUCUGCUGAUUUCUUUUCCAGUUUUCAAAUUCUUUCUUCAGCUUCUUCUAAUCUUAUGUUAAACCUGUUUAUUGAGUUUUAACUUUUGAUUAUUCUAUUAUUUUAUUUUAUUUUUAGAAGUUCUACGUCAAAUUUGUUAUGUCAUUUUUUAUAUUUCCCCAUUUUCUUCAGAUAUUUUUAAGCUUUAAAUUUUUUAACAUCAUAAGUAUUGGUAUUUUAUAAUCUGUGUCUAAUGAGUCUAAUAUUUGACAUUUUGGAAGAGCUUUUUCUGCUGCCAGUUUUUUUCUACUGGGUCUUGUAAGGCCUUUUUUUAAAAAAAAUUCUUUAGUUAUUUUUAUUGUAUGCUGCUCAUUGUCCUUGAAAAAUUAUUUGUGGAGCAAACUGCCUUCCUUGCAUUUUUUUCUGCCAGUGCCUAGAGUCAUUACCAGUCAGGACCACUUUAAAUUAUGUUCUCACUUGAAAUUAUUUUGAGACCACCCUAGAAAUGUGAAUUUGGGAUGCAAAUCUCCAUAAAGACCUGCUUAUGAUUACAGCUUCUCAGAGAAUCCUCCACCUCUGUUUUGCUCAGUGUCUCAGCAAUUUUUACUUAGUUCCAUGAGUUGGAGAGGUUAAGAGGAUUGCGCCUGCCUUGUCCUUAUUCUGAGGGUAUAGAUUUUUAGGCUCAUAGCUUAAUGUGGACAGACUUGUUUUUUUACUCCUUGCCUUUGAUUUUAAGCCCCUCAUCAUCGUGGGACCAACCAAAAUUUAAGCUUGCCUGGAUCAGUAAGUGCUCUCAGAGCAAAAGCAGCUCCAGUAUUCUUCUUACCUCUCUGGGAUUCCACUUUCCUUAGAUUUUGGCCUAUUAAUUCUUUACUAUUGGGUUAAAAUGUAUAAUAUUGUCAUUAGUUGACCAUUUUUGAUUGUCAAAAAGGCAAAACAAAUUAAGUCUAAUGAAUCUAAUAACUAACCAGCCUUUGGAUGCCUUAAAAAUAUGCUUCUAUUUCAUCUAGUAUUUUUAGCUUUUUUUUUUUUUUUUAGUAGGAAGGUUGGCUCAAAUAAUAUAGUGGACCAAAUUACCAGAAAUGGAGACUGCCCUUCAAUUCUUUCUGCUAAUGGUCGUGGGACGUCAUCUCCCUCUCCAAAGCUAGCUUGUUCACAUGUGAUUUCUGGAACCUUUCUCCUACUAGUCCCUCCUUACCUUGGGGGACCACCACUUCUCUCUUUCAGCUAACUCUUGUGUUUCUUUUAGUUAACAGUUCUUGUUUCUCUCUUGACUGGGAAACUUUUCCAACAAGCAGGAUGACUUUCUCUUUAUCACAAUCUAUCUUCUACCUACUGGAGAGACUAAAGCUAGAAAGAAAAAGGCAAUGAAAAAUAGGAAACAAGUGACAUAACACAGUUGAGAGGCAAAGGCUGUUGUGAAAGGCUAAUGCGAAUGGAAAUUCAGGAUUACAGCCAUGUGGUUCGCUCUCAGAAAAUCCAAUCCCAUGUGGAGCAGGAGGACAGAGGACCACAGAAAAGAUUUCUCAAGAAAGAAAAUUGGUAGAUUAUUGGGUUCAUUUAAAUGUAUGGGGAGGAGAAUGCAUCCAGAGGAGAUGUUAGAGAAUAACUAAACAAAAGAAAACAACACACAUGCACACACAUGCACAGACAAAAACAAUAACAAAAAACUAAAGCCAUUAUUAAGUCCAGGGAAAAGAAAAGCUGUACAGCAAACGAAAGGUGGUUAUAAACAUCAUGUGUAUGGCUCAGGUAUAAAUAAUACUUUCCUAGCCAUGACUAUGUGAAGAGGGAAAUGGAUUUAUUGUGAAAAAAUCAUAUUAGGAGAAUGGGGAGUGUACAUGUGGGUGAGCAGUGGUGUAAGACAGCUAAAUUCUUAUUUUCUAUCGUAGGAAGUCAAUAGGUAAUAUCAAAAACUAAAUAAUGAAGAGAUACCAGUAUAAGCAUGUCAUUUAGAAAUAUGGCAUUGUGAAAAUGUCAGAGGAAAUAGCUAGGAGAGAGAAAAGUGGCUGUAUCUGGGGAUUCAGAAACAGAGAUGUGUGGCAGAGAAUUGCUUGUUUUAAUUCUAGGUCUAGUGUUAUUUGACUUUUUAGACUAUAUGCUUUUAUUAAUGAGAUAAAAAAUGAAAUGAAAUUUUAAAAAGAUAAAUAUUAGAAGUAACAACAAAAUUAUUUUAUAUGCAGUUGCCGUGAUUGGCUGCAUAUCUUGAAAUAUAAGAGACUAAUUAAAAUAUUAGUAUGGAGAAGAAUAUUUAGUGUGCUGACUGGUUACAAGGUAAAUAUUCAAAAUUAAAUAGCCUUCCUCUAUAUUAAAACUUAGUUAGAAAUUAAAAUGGAAAGAUCCCACUCAUUUUAGUGAGAAAAUCCUGAAAUACUUAAGAAUAAAUCUAGCAAAAGGCAUCUAGCACCUAUUGAAAAAAAUUAUACAAUAUUAUUAAAUGAAUUAAAAUAACUGUUGGAGAGGCAUACAUGUUCCUGGAUAUAAAAACAAAAUCGUAUAAAAAUGAAGGUAAAAGGUAAUUCCAAAUGAAAGUCCAAUGAACAAAUAUAUUCUAAAAAACAAUAUAAAAGAGUAACAGUCUGAGAAUAGCCAAGAACAUUCUGUGAAAGAAUAGUGUGUGUGUGGGGUGAGGGGGAAUGGUUUGCCUCACCAGGUAUUAUAACUUACUCAAAAACUGCUUCAACAAAACAGUAUGAUAUUGGUAUAAAAAUAAUUGCAUAAAUCGGUGAAGUAGAAUUAAGUCCAGAAAUAUUAACAUUUUUUUUAUCAUAUUUGGCUUGUUUCACUUGUUAUAAUAGGCAUGCAUUUGUAAUUUUAAAAAAUCUAAUAUAGAUAAUUAAAUAAAAAUCCAGUGAAAUAUUUUUAUUUAUAUGAAUCUGUAAUGUCUCUUCAGAAAAACAAUGGUCUUUUUUCUGCAUGUGUUCUUCUUUUUAAAAUUCCAAGGCUCAUUGUCAAGUAUCCAAAAACACAGAAGUAUGUUGAGAAAAAUGUUUAAGUCUCUCUUCAAGAUCCAAUCUUGGUUUCCUCCCCAGAGGAAAUUUAGGGUGUAUCCUUCCCUUUAGUUAUUAAUAUGGCUUUGCAUGGUUUUGGCUUGCCUGAUCAUUACAAUAAUUUCUCAUGGUAAAAUGUGUAUAACUUAAAAUUUGCCAUUUUAGCCAUUUUUAAGUGAACAAUUCAGUGACAUUAAUUAUAUUUACAAUGUGCAACCAUCACCACUAAUUUCAGGACUUUUCAUCACUCCAAACAGAAACUCUAUACCUAUUAAUAACUCCUAUGCCUCCCACCUCUCAGCCCCUGGCACCUGUUACCGUCGAGUUGAUUCCGACUCAUAGCCACCCUAUAGGACAGAGUAGAGCUACCGCACAGCGUUUCCAAGGAGCACCUAGUGGAACUGAACUGCUGACCUUUUGGUUAGCAGCUGUGGCUCUUAACCACUACCC
Molecule: long non-coding RNA, 10409 nt
Organism: Loxodonta africana (African savanna elephant)
Lineage: Eukaryota; Metazoa; Chordata; Mammalia; Proboscidea; Elephantidae
Exons: 4
Source: RefSeq, a predicted model, not a curated record